AGCCAAAUCCAACGCUAACCACAACACCCCAGCAAAGAUGUACAAGAAGCAUGAGAGAGAGAAAGAAAGGAAAUAUGGAGACCGCUGUGUACAGAUCGAAAAAGGAACCUGCAGUGGCCUUGUAUUCUCGACCACCGGAGUGAGAGGACACAGAGGACGGUAUUAUGAGAAAGCAAUACCUGUUGACGAACUGGACCUAAAUCUCGCACACACCACCAGCGAUGAAGACAGGGGUGAUGAUGUUGAUGAUGAAGAUGAGGAAGUUGAUGAUGAGGUUGAGAAUGUAGAGGAAGAGGUUGCAGAAGAGUGAGCUGAAAAGAAGACUAGAUUCUAUUCUAAUUUAUUGAUUAUCAUAUUUAUUGAAAUAAACAUAUAAUAUCCAUUACUCCAGGAGUGAUGACAGGAUAUAUAAAAAAUAAUUU
This is a long non-coding RNA of Bolinopsis microptera, 422 nucleotides long. RefSeq lists it as uncharacterized. NCBI's taxonomy places the organism in Eukaryota, Metazoa, Ctenophora, Tentaculata, Lobata, Bolinopsidae. The transcript is spliced from 2 exons. The record is from RefSeq and is a predicted model, not a curated record.